Long non-coding RNA from Lycium ferocissimum, 1381 nucleotides. RefSeq lists it as uncharacterized. NCBI's taxonomy places the organism in Eukaryota, Viridiplantae, Streptophyta, Magnoliopsida, Solanales, Solanaceae. The transcript has 4 exons. The record is from RefSeq and is a predicted model, not a curated record.
AUGGCAGGUGAAGCUUUAUUAGAAUGGCUACAAAAGGAAAUGGGAUACCAACCAUUAGGUUCAUAUGCAGCUUCAACCAAAGCAACAAUGCCUACUAUCGAUUCGUUACACAAAAUUUGCCGUGGUAACAUGAUACCUAUAUGGAAUUUCCUCUUAACUAGAGUUAAAUCACAGAAAACUGUUGAAAAAGUCCACCGUAAUAUCCUUGUACACGGUCCAGACGAUAAUGGAAAUGUUAGGAGGAAGGAGAGUGCUUCGGCGUCGUCGAAUGGUAGGGAAGUUGCUUUGCAAGAGAGGGAUUUGGCAGAGAAAGAAGUGGAAAGGCUUUAGGCAGAUAGUGAGGCGACAAAGGAAAGAGUUGAAGGCGAGGAUGUUAGAGGUGUCCAGGGAGGAGCUCACCCGUAAAUGCAUGCUUGACGAGAGGUUUGGAUGCCUCGGAUGCUGGCUUAGCAGCAGUUUUAGAAUCUUUGGGAUUUUGUAUGAAGCUUCGUGGUUCUGAAGCUUCCAUAUUGGAAGACUUGGAAAAGGCAACUCGGUUCACACACGGCGAUAUCUUGUUGAAAGUGGUCGUGCCUUGUUAGAUCAUGCUAACAAGGCACAAAAUGAGUAUGAAAGUUGCGGCAAAUGUCAUCACUUUAUCCUUUAUUUUCACUGGAUCAGAUCCUUGCUUAUUUGCAAUGUACUAGUUUUUCUAAUUCUUGUUCAAACCAAAAACCGGGGUGCCCUUACAAAAUUAGAUCGGAUUCUAGUGCCUUGAAUAUUGUAUUCCUGAUUGCUGGACAUUUGGUUGGACCAAUAUAUAGAUUGAUUGGCUUUGUUGCUUGUCCUUUGUAGGAUGACUAACUACUGCUUAAAUCUGGCUGCGGAGCCAGAGAAGACAGCUACAGAGAAUUGGCUACAGGAACUGGAUGUAGCUAUUGGUAAUGCUAAACACUGCCUUAACGAGGAAUGCAAGUAUGUUCGGGGCCUGGUAGAUGAAUGGUGGGAACAACCAGCAUCAACUGUAGUUGACUGGGUUGCUGUUGAUGGACAAAAUGUUGCUGCAUGGUUGAAUGAUGUGAAGCAGCUCAAGGCAUUUCAUGAUCAACAACUUUGUUGAAUCACCUCUUUGGCAACUGUUACAUAAUGUCUGUAAAUUUUCAUUUUUCUCGCUUGCUAGUUCUUGCAACUUCAUGUGGCUUUUGGUUCUCUCGAGACAGGUCACUUGCAAAUCUAGGCAGCAUCUGUUGAAGAUAGUAGAACAAUUCGAUCUUCGACCUAGACCUAGGACUGUAAGAAAAUUUCAGUCAAUAGGGGCGUAUUGUCUUUCUCUUACAUAGUUCAAGACUUCAAGCCCGAAAUGUAGGUCUAGUAAAAUAUGUUGUUGCAUUCCCUAUGUUGU